GUAUAAUGGGUCAGCGACUUAUAUUUUGUAGCAAGGUUAACCGUAUAGGGGAGCCGUAGGGAAACCGAGUCUUAACUGGGCGAUUAGUUGCAAGGUAUAGACCCGAAACCCGGUGAUCUAGCCAUGGGCAGGUUGAAGGUUGGGUAACACUAACUGGAGGACCGAACCGACUAAUGUUGAAAAAUUAGCGGAUGACUUGUGGCUGGGGGUGAAAGGCCAAUCAAACCGGGAGAUAGCUGGUUCUCCCCGAAAGCUAUUUAGGUAGCGCCUCGUGAACUCAUCUUCGGGGGUAGAGCACUGUUUCGGCUAGGGGGCCAUCCCGGCUUACCAAACCGAUGCAAACUCCGAAUACCGAAGAAUGUUAUCACGGGAGACACACGGCGGGUGCUAACGUCCGUCGUGAAGAGGGAAACAACCCAGACCGCCAGCUAAGGUCCCAAAGUCAUGGUUAAGUGGGAAACGAUGUGGGAAGGCAUAGACAGCCAGGAUGUUGGCUUAGAAGCAGCCAUCAUUUAAAGAAAGCGUAAUAGCUCACUGGUCGAGUCGGCCUGCGCGGAAGAUGUAACGGGGCUAAACCAUGCACCGAAGCUGCGGCAGCGACGCUUAGCGUUGUUGGGUAGGGGAGCGUUCUGUAAGCCGUUGAAGGUGGCCUGUGAGGGUUGCUGGAGGUAUCAGAAGUGCGAAUGCUGACAUAAGUAACGAUAAAGCGGGUGAAAAGCCCGCUCGCCGGAAGACCAAGGGUUCCUGUCCAACGUUAAUCGGGGCAGGGUGAGUCGACCCCUAAGGCGAGGCUGAAAAGCGUAGUCGAUGGGAAACAGGUUAAUAUUCCUGUACUUGGUGUUACUGCGAAGGGGGGACGGAGAAGGCUAGGCUAGCCGGGCGACGGUUGUCCCGGUUUAAGCGUGUAGGGGGUGUGACCUGGUAAAUCCGGUUGCAUACUAACCCUGAGGCGUGAUGACGAUGCACUACGGUGCAGAAGUAGUUGAUGCCCUGCUUCCAGGAAAAUCCUCUAAGCUCCAGGUAACAUUAAAUCGUACCCCAAACCGACACAGGUGGUCAGGUAGAGAAUACCAAGGCGCUUGAGAGAACUCGGGUGAAGGAACUAGGCAAAAUGGUGCCGUAACUUCGGGAGAAGGCACGCUGGCAUGUAGGUGAAGUCCCUUGCGGAUGGAGCUGAAGCCAGUCGAAGAUACCAGCUGGCUGCAACUGUUUAAUAAAAACACAGCACUGUGCAAACACGAAAGUGGACGUAUACGGUGUGACGCCUGCCCGGUGCUGGAAGGUUAAUUGAUGGGGUCAGCCGCAAGGCGAAGCUCUUGAUCGAAGCCCCAGUAAACGGCGGCCGUAACUAUAACGGUCCUAAGGUAGCGAAAUUCCUUGUCGGGUAAGUUCCGACCUGCACGAAUGGCGUAAUGAUGGCCAGGCUGUCUCCACCCGAGACUCAGUGAAAUUGAACUCGCUGUGAAGAUGCAGUGUACCCGCGGCAAGACGGAAAGACCCCGUGAACCUUUACUAUAGCUUGACACUGAACAUUGAGCCUUGAUGUGUAGGAUAGGUGGGAGGCUUUGAAGCGUGGACGCCAGUCUGCGUGGAGCCAUCCUUGAAAUACCACCCUUUAAUGUUUGAUGUUCUAACUCGGCCCCAUAAUCUGGGGUGAGGACAGUGUCUGGUGGGUAGUUUGACUGGGGCGGUCUCCUCCCAAAGAGUAACGGAGGAGCACGAAGGUUAGCUAAUCACGGUCGGACAUCGUGAGGUUAGUGCAAAGGCAUAAGCUAGCUUGACUGCGAGAGUGACGGCUCGAGCAGGUACGAAAGUAGGUCUUAGUGAUCCGGUGGUUCUGAAUGGAAGGGCCAUCGCUCAACGGAUAAAAGGUACUCCGGGGAUAACAGGCUGAUACCGCCCAAGAGUUCAUAUCGACGGCGGUGUUUGGCACCUCGAUGUCGGCUCAUCACAUCCUGGGGCUGAAGUAGGUCCCAAGGGUAUGGCUGUUCGCCAUUUAAAGUGGUACGCGAGCUGGGUUUAGAACGUCGUGAGACAGUUCGGUCCCUAUCUGCCGUGGGCGUUGGAAGAUUGAGAGGGGUUGCUCCUAGUACGAGAGGACCGGAGUGAACGCACCACUGGUGUUCGGGUUGUCAUGCCAAUGGCAUUGCCCGGUAGCUAAGUGCGGAAAAGAUAAGCGCUGAAAGCAUCUAAGCGCGAAACUUGCCUCAA
Molecule: ribosomal RNA, 2211 nt
Filed under: Serratia marcescens
Lineage: Bacteria; Pseudomonadati; Pseudomonadota; Gammaproteobacteria; Enterobacterales; Yersiniaceae
Description: partial 23S ribosomal RNA
Rfam family: Bacterial large subunit ribosomal RNA
Source: RNAcentral